Molecule: ribosomal RNA, 253 nt
Filed under: uncultured bacterium
Lineage: Bacteria
Description: partial 16S ribosomal RNA
Rfam family: Bacterial small subunit ribosomal RNA
Source: RNAcentral
UACGUAGGGUGCGAGCGUUGUCCGGAAUUAUUGGGCGUAAAGAGCUCGUAGGCGGUUUGUUGCGUCGACUGUGAAAACCUGGGGCUUAACUCUGGGCUUGCAGUCGAUACGGGCAGACUUGAGUUCGGUAGGGGAGACUGGAAUUCCUGGUGUAGCGGUGAAAUGCGCAGAUAUCAGGAGGAACACCGGUGGCGAAGGCGGCAUCCUGGACCGACACUGACACUGAGGAGCGAAAGCCAGGGGAGCAAACGGG